RNAcentral lists this long non-coding RNA (1744 nucleotides) under Homo sapiens (human). Its description in RNAcentral is "non-protein coding lnc-LAMA1-5:3". The record is from RNAcentral. Lineage: Eukaryota; Metazoa; Chordata; Mammalia; Primates; Hominidae.
GGAAGGUUCUGGAUUGCAGGGAGAAAGGCAAUUAAUGAGUGAUUACUAUUUAAAGACAAAACCCCUGUCAAAACAGCUUGACCAAAAAAAAAUGUGAGUUUUUUUUGUUGUUUUUUUUUUUAACUCACAACUUGCAGUAGUGCUGCCAGCAAAAAUAGUGGGUGGUAAUUCUGCCAGCUAAAAGGGUGCCGAAAUGCAGUUGGGUGAGAAGAACAACUCUGUCCCCUCCUCCAUUCCCUUUCAGCAGUGACUGAGUGGGCUACCUCCCAGGCCUGUUCCUGCAGUGCCCCUUGGUUCUUCAUGAGACUAUUCAGGGUGUUUUUCUGGGCAAGUAACUCCAAAGGCAAGCAUGAGAGCAGCUCGAAGACUUAAGAACAUGUCACAGGACUGGGAGGAAUGGAAGGUGUCACAUCAGAAUAACAAUAGCUCUUGACAAAUGGAUGCACAGCCAUUCCCAUAAACAGGAAUUUCCCUGCAGGAAAACUUCCUCCCAUGGGAUCUUCAAUUUGAUGAAAGCAAUUACAGGACAAAGAGGCUGAUUUCCCCUGCAUCUGCUGAGGUGAAGCCAGUGCUAAGGUUUCACUUAUACUGAAGAAAUUCUUGGUUUCCUCCAGAACAGAACACCCUGAAAUAUGAAGCUAAUCUCAUCAGAGGGACAGGCACCUUACCAAGAUGAAAAUUCCUUAAGAUUUAUUUGCCCAGCCUUAAAGCUUAGACAACUUAUUAAGAGUUACAAUAGUUUUGUCAAAAAUGACAGCCUUCAGUGCUUCACAGAAGCCAUAAAAAAAACAAAGUCCAAUACCGAUGUGUUUUCGUUAACUGAAAAUAUCAGUGACCAACAAAUACAAAGUUUCAUUAGAAAUCAUCAAGAAAAACCAGGCUUGGGAAGAUAAAUUCCUUGAUGCCCAUGUUUUAAAAAUGAUCCUGUCUGUGGAUUAAACUGCAAGUCAUUUGGGCCAUUGCUCAGCCGAAAAGACAAAUGUUUCAGAGUAGAAGGCCACUCUCCUCUGGCCUCAAUGAAAACGCAUGUCACCUUCCGGCUACAGACCCAGGUGGCCGCCUACCACCUUGCAUUCUCAGGAGCAAUGCCCACCUGUGCACAACACAUGAAAGAACAUGUUCACGGAACACCUACUGUAUGGCCACCACUAUGCUAAAAAUUUUUCAGAAGGUUUCUCAUUUUGAACUCAGAAUAAAGAGUUAUUUAUACACAUUAUGACUGUUUACCCAUUAUAAAAAUGUAGGCUCAGAAAACUUAGUACUUGCUCCAGUACACAGAGCCAAGCAGCUAAGCUCCAAGAAUUUACACUACACACACACCACGGGGGAAAGAAAGCACUUUCAUCUGAGGAAUGUGAGCCCUUACAAACUGUGAGGCCCAGAGAAGCAUUAAAAUGAGAACUCAAUCAUGCCCUACUCCCUGCUUCAGCUAUGUAUUCGUCUCUCAAAGCAGCUUCCUGUUGCCAAAAGUAGCUAUAAAUUAAUCUAAUAAUGCCACACUGGACACUAUAACCCAUACCGUAUAGCUUAACCAUGUAUAGCCAUAUCACUAAUCAAUGUUAUUUCUGUAAACCAAUGAGAAUUCCUGACAAACAACUUUGCAUCUGCCCACUCUGUCUCCUUUUUCUGCCUUUAAAAAUCCACUGUGGCCUGGCUCCACAGCUCACAACUGUAAUUCCAACAUUUUGGGAGGCCAAGACAGGAGGAUCACUUGAGGCCAGGAGUUUGAGACUGGCCUGGGCAA